Molecule: ribosomal RNA, 338 nt
Filed under: Xenogryllus transversus
Lineage: Eukaryota; Metazoa; Arthropoda; Insecta; Orthoptera; Gryllidae
Description: partial 12S ribosomal RNA
Source: RNAcentral
UAUCAUUUUCAAUGUCCUGAUGGAAACUGGGGUAGUAAUAKUUGGUCUAGAAACCCAAAGAAUUUGGCGGUAUUUUAGUACUUAAUUUUGUUUCASUAUACCGCCGUCGUAAGAUAUUUUUUUCAGAAUACAUGUUCUUAAUUUUGUAUUAAAUAAUAUGUCAGGUCAAGGUGCAGCUUAUGAUUAAGUGGAUGAAGGAUUACAAUAGUAUUCAUUAUAAUGGAUAAUUGUUUGAAGUUAAUAUGCAGGUGGACUUGAUUUUAAAUUUGAUUUUMAUUUCUUGAUUGAUUUGAGCUCUAAAAUGCGCACAAAUUGCCCGUCGCUUAAGUUGAGAUAAG